Molecule: ribosomal RNA, 1204 nt
Filed under: uncultured bacterium
Lineage: Bacteria
Description: bacterial SSU rRNA
Rfam family: Bacterial small subunit ribosomal RNA
Source: RNAcentral
CUGGAUCAGGAUGAACGCUGGCGGCGUGCAUAACACAUUCAAGUCGAACGGAGUUGUUUGGUUGGAUCAUUCGGGUGACGACCUUUCAACUUAGUGGCGGACGGGUGAGUAACGCGUGAGCAACCUGCCUAUGUGUGGGGGAUAACUGACUGGAAACGGUCGCUAAUACCGCAUAACGUAGCGAGAUCGCAUGUUCUUGCUACCAAAGAUUUAUUGCACAGAGAUGGGCUCGCGCUAUGAUUAGAUAGUUGGUGGGGUAACGGCCUACCAAGUCUGCGAUCAGUAGCCGGACUGAGAGGUUGAACGGCCACAUUGGAACUGAGAAACGGUCCAGACUCCUACGGGAGGCAGCAGUGGGGAAUAUUGGGCAAUGGGCGAAAGCCUGACCCAGCGACGCCGCGUGCGGGAAGACGGUCUUCGGAUUGUAAACCGCUGUUGACAGGGAAGAACACAUGACGGUACCUGUCGAGGAAGUCACGGCUAACUACGUGCCAGCAGCCGCGGUAAUACGUAGGCGGCGAGCGUUAUCCGGAUUUACUGGGUGUAAAGGGUGUGUAGGCGGGAUGGUAAGUCAGAUGUGAAAUCCGGGGGCUCAACCCCCGGCCUGCAUUUGAAACUGCUGUUCUUGAGUGUCGGAGAGGUAAACGGAAUUCCCAGUGUAGCGGUGAAAUGCGUAGAUAUUGGGAGGAACACCAGUGGCGAAGGCGGUUUACUGGACGACAACUGACGCUGAGACACGAAAGCGUGGGGAGCAAACAGGAUUAGAUACCCUGGUAGUCCACGCCGUAAACGAUGAAUGCUAGGUGUAGGGGAGUUAUCUUCUGUGCCGCAGCUAACGCAAUAAGCAUUCCACCUGGGGAGUACGGCCGCAAGGUUGAAACUCAAAGGAAUUGACGGGAGCCCGCACAAGCAGUGGAGUAUGUGGUUUAAUUCGACGCAACGCGAAGAACCUUACCAGGUCUUGACAUCCUAGGAACCCGGCGUAAUGGCUGGGGUGCCCUUCGGGGAAUCUAGAGACAGGUGGUGCAUGGUUGUCGUCAGCUCGUGUCGUGAGAUGUUGGGUUAAGUCCCGCAACGAGCGCAACCCUUACGGUUAGUUGCUACGCAAGAGCACUCUAGCCGGACUGCCGUUGACAAAACGGAGGAAGGUGGGGACGACGUCAAAUCAUCAUGCCCCUUAUGAUCUGGGCUACACACGUACUAC